This 458-nucleotide ribosomal RNA is filed under the name uncultured bacterium. RNAcentral describes it as "bacterial SSU rRNA". It matches the Rfam family "Bacterial small subunit ribosomal RNA", at positions 1 to 507 of the family's 1533-position model. The record is from RNAcentral.
CAUAUCGACGAGUUUGAUCCNGGCUCAGACACGCUGGCGGCAGGCCUAACACAUGCAAGUCGAACGCGUCCUUCGGGACGAGUGGCAGACGGGUGAGUAACGCGUGGGAACGUACCCUUUGGUUCGGAACAACUCCGGGAAACUGGAGCUAAUACCGGAUAAGCCCUUCGGGGGAAAGAUUUAUCGCCAGAGGAUCGGCCCGCGUUAGAUUAGCUUGUUGGUGAGGUAAUGGCUCACCAAGGCUACGAUCUAUAGCUGGUCUGAGAGGAUGAUCAGCCACACUGGGACUGAGACACGGCCCAGACUCUUACGGGAGGCAGCAGUGGGGAAUCUUGGACAAUGGGCGAAAGCCUGAUCCAGCCAUGCCGCGUGAAUGAUGAAGGCCCUAGGGUUGUAAAAUUCUUUCGACGGGGAAGAUAAUGACGGUACCCGUAGAAGAAGCUCCGGCUAACUUCGUG